UACGAAGGGGGCUAGCGUUGCUCGGAAUCACUGGGCGUAAAGGGCGCGUAGGCGGGCGGCCGCGUCCAGGGUGAAAUCCCACGGCUCAACCGUGGAACGGCCUCGGAUACGGGCGGCCUCGAGGGGGGUAGGGGCAUCUGGAACUGUGAGUGGAGCGGUGAAAUGCGUUGAUAUUCACAGGAACUCCGGUGGCGAAGGCGAGGUGCUGGACCCCAUCUGACGCUGAGGCGCGAAAGCCAGGGGAGCGAACGGG
RNAcentral lists this ribosomal RNA (253 nucleotides) under uncultured bacterium. RNAcentral describes it as "partial 16S ribosomal RNA". It matches the Rfam family "Bacterial small subunit ribosomal RNA", at positions 524 to 776 of the family's 1533-position model. The record is from RNAcentral.